RNAcentral lists this ribosomal RNA (409 nucleotides) under Actinomycetes bacterium. Its description in RNAcentral is "Actinobacteria bacterium partial 16S ribosomal RNA". It matches the Rfam family "Bacterial small subunit ribosomal RNA", at positions 355 to 776 of the family's 1533-position model. The record is from RNAcentral. Lineage: Bacteria; Bacillati; Actinomycetota; Actinomycetes.
UGGGGAAUAUUGCACAAUGGGCGGAAGCCUGAUGCAGCGACGCCGCGUGGGGGAUGAAGGCCUUCGGGUUGUAAACUCCUUUCGACAGGGACGAAGCUUUUGUGACGGUACCUGUAUAAGAAGCACCGGCUAACUACGUGCCAGCAGCCGCGGUAAUACGUAGGGUGCGAGCGUUGUCCGGAAUUACUGGGCGUAAAGAGCUCGUAGGUGGUUUGUCGCGUCGUCUGUGAAAUUCCGGGGCUUUACUCCGGGCGUGCAGGCGAUACGGGCUGACUUGAGUGCUGUAGGGGAGACUGGAAUUCCUGGUGUAGCGGUGAAAUGCGCAGAUAUCAGGAGGAACACCGAUGGCGAAGGCAGGUCUCUGGGCAGUAACUGACGCUGAGGAGCGAAAGCAUGGGUAGCGAACAGG